This 199-nucleotide ribosomal RNA is filed under the name uncultured Lactobacillus sp. RNAcentral's name for it is "partial 16S ribosomal RNA". It matches the Rfam family "Bacterial small subunit ribosomal RNA", at positions 335 to 526 of the family's 1533-position model. The record is from RNAcentral. Lineage: Bacteria; Bacillati; Bacillota; Bacilli; Lactobacillales; Lactobacillaceae.
ACUCUUACGGGAGGCAGCAGUAGGGAAUCUUCCACAAUGGACGCAAGUCUGAUGGAGCAACGCCGCGUGAGUGAAGAAGGGUUUCGGCUCGUAAAGCUCUGUUGUUGGUGAAGAAGGACAGGGGUAGUAACUGACCUUUGUUUGACGGUAAUCAAUUAGAAAGUCACGGCUAACUACGUGCCAGCAGCCGCGGUAAUAC